Molecule: transfer RNA, 58 nt
Filed under: Brevundimonas sp.
Lineage: Bacteria; Pseudomonadati; Pseudomonadota; Alphaproteobacteria; Caulobacterales; Caulobacteraceae
Description: tRNA-Trp
Rfam family: tRNA
About the family: Transfer RNA (tRNA) molecules are approximately 80 nucleotides in length.
Source: RNAcentral
AGCUCAGCUGGUAGAGCAUCGGUCUCCAAAACCGAGGGUCGUGGGUUCGAGUCCCUCC